RNA transcript from Cydia amplana, 2061 nucleotides. It is a transcript of the gene named reticulon-1-A, with no coding region annotated. The transcript is spliced from 7 exons. The record is from RefSeq and is a predicted model, not a curated record. NCBI's taxonomy places the organism in Eukaryota, Metazoa, Arthropoda, Insecta, Lepidoptera, Tortricidae.
UAGUCCGUGUAAAACUUGAGUAAAAAAAUCUGUGGAACUUUAUUAUAUAUAUAUUUUAGUACUAUACUUUGUAUUACAUUAGCAAUAUAUUUCUUUGUAAGCGCGCUCACAUAGUCAAGGCAAGGGCGGGCUCCUCGCACUGGCGGGCCGGCGAUGACUAAUACCGCUCGUCGUGCAGAGUGACGUCGCACAGCACCCCACACGGCCGCUCGCUCGCGAGCCUCAGUCCUCCGGCGCCCGGCGCCCCCACGACACGGCAACCACCUCAACUGCGCACUAACGAUUUUCCACCGCGCCCUAGGGACGCGCCCAUCUUCCGAUCACACUUCCACCACUACACUAGAAUGGACGGCACGGAUGAUCUUCUGGGAGGGUUCGGCGACCAGACGCCGGCGGCGGCACCCCUGCCUCCGAUGAAGCGCGAGCAGGACUCGACGGAUGACUUCGAGCACCUGGGCCGCGAGGGUCGCGACGACAGCGAAUCGCCGCGGCACGGGCCCGCGCGCCUCGCCACCCAGAACUUCCUGGACAUGGAACGGGACGUGUUCGCGGACUCGCCGCGCACGCCCUCCGCGGCGGACAAGCUGGCCGACCAGCUAGCCGACAAGUUCACCGACAGCGAGUCGGACGCGGACACGGCCGGCGAGUCCCCCCUGCACCGGCCCGCGCCGGUCGCUCCGGUGUCGGCGCCCGUAUCCGACCCCACGCCCGUGCUGGCUCCGGCUCCCAGCCCCGCGCCCGUGCUCGCGCCCGCACCGGCUCCGGCUCCGGCAGCCGCCCCGCCGGUGGAGAUGCCGCGGCCCGAGCCGCCGAAGCCGGUCGAGCCCGCGCCCCAGCCUAAGCCCGCCCCCGCCCCAGCGCCCGCGCCAGUGGCGGCGCCCAAACCGGCCCCGGAACCGCCCAAACCGGCCCCGGAACCGCCCAAACCCGCGCCCGAGCCCAGCCGCACGCCGGUCGCUCACGUCAUCGAAGCUGAAGUCAUCUUCUGCCAGAUGGGACUUGAUGCUUGGUUCGACCCGCAGAGGCUGCAUCCCGAAGUGGAGGCGUUAAUAUACUGGCGUAGCGCGGCGCGCUCGGGUGCCGCGCUGGGCGCGGGCCUGGCGCUCCUGCUGGCGCUGGCGUGCUGCUCCGUGGUGUCGGUGGCGGCCUACGUCUCGUUGCUGGCGCUGUCCGCGGCCGUCGCCUUCCGCAUCUACAAGAAUGUGCUCCAGGCCGUGCAGAAAACCAAUGAGGGACAUCCCUUCAAAUUCCUCUUGGAGAAAGACAUCAGCGUGCCCGCUGAGCGCGUGCAGUCGCUGGCCGCUUCCGCCACGGCGCACCUCAAUGCUGCAGUCAGCGAACUUCGCAGACUGUUCCUGGUGGAGGACCUGGUGGACUCGCUGAAGUUCGGCGUGCUGCUGUGGUGCCUCACGUACGUGGGCGCCUGCUUCAACGGCAUGACGCUCAUCAUCCUGGGUCAGUAUUACCUUUUGAACGUUUCAGACUGUUCCUGGUGGACUCGCUGAAGUUCGGCGUGCUGCUGUGGUGCCUCACGUACGUGGGCGCCUGCUUCAACGGCAUGACGCUCAUCAUCCUGGGUCAGUAUUACCUUUUGAACGUUUCAGACUGUUCCUGGUGGACUCGCUGAAGUUCGGCGUGCUGCUGUGGUGCCUCACGUACGUGGGCGCCUGCUUCAACGGCAUGACGCUCAUCAUCCUGGGCUGGAUAGCGCUGUUCACGCUGCCGAAGGCUUACGAGAUGAACAAGGCGCAGGUGGACGCCAACCUCGAGCUGGCGCGCGCCAAGAUCAACGAGAUCUCCGCCAAAGUGCGAGCAGCAGUCCCAAUCGGCAGGAAGGCCGAGAGCGAGAAGGACAAGUAAAGAGGGACGGAAGAUGGGGGGCGAAGCGGGAGCGAGCGAGAGCGCGCGCAGGCAGAUCUUUUAUUAGCGCCGGAGUACUUCACUCUUUGUUAUAUUUAUUGUACUAUUAAAGAUAAUACUUUAUGUGUAAAGCUUUAUGACGAGUCAUGCGGAGAUUGUAUUUGCUUUUUGAAAUUUUAAAUUAAAAUAACUGUCGAACCA